AUUACUCUGGAGAGUCUUUCUCUUUUCGGAUCAGGGAUCCCUCUUUCAAUGAGACCCCUUUUUAACAGGAGAAAGCGCCGAAGGUGUACGACAAAUUUUUUUGUUUAUCUCUCAGGCAAAAGGACAGAACA
This 131-nucleotide non-coding RNA is filed under the name uncultured Anaerobutyricum sp. RNAcentral's name for it is "Glycine riboswitch". It matches the Rfam family "Glycine riboswitch aptamer", at positions 10 to 85 of the family's 94-position model. Rfam says of the family: This family represents the bacterial glycine riboswitch. Glycine riboswitches usually consist of two metabolite-binding aptamers domains with similar structures in tandem. Lineage: Bacteria; Bacillati; Bacillota; Clostridia; Lachnospirales; Lachnospiraceae. The record is from RNAcentral.